UACGAAGGGGGCCAGCGUUGCUCGGAAUCACUGGGCGUAAAGGGUGCGUAGGCGGGUUUUUAAGUCAGGGGUGAAAUCCUGGAGCUCAACUCCAGAACUGCCUUUGAUACUGAAGAUCUCGAGUCCGGGAGAGGUGAGUGGAACUGCGAGUGUAGAGGUGAAAUUCGUAGAUAUUCGCAAGAACACCAGUGGCGAAGGCGGCUCACUGGCCCGGUACUGACGCUGAGGCACGAAAGCGUGGGGAGCAAACAGG
Molecule: ribosomal RNA, 253 nt
Filed under: uncultured bacterium
Lineage: Bacteria
Description: partial 16S ribosomal RNA
Rfam family: Bacterial small subunit ribosomal RNA
Source: RNAcentral